Long non-coding RNA from Rattus rattus (black rat), 1343 nucleotides. RefSeq lists it as uncharacterized. NCBI's taxonomy places the organism in Eukaryota, Metazoa, Chordata, Mammalia, Rodentia, Muridae. The record is from RefSeq and is a predicted model, not a curated record. The transcript has 2 exons.
CUGCACUAGGGAAGCUACUUCGUCCCAGGCCUCUCUCUUCAUGGGGUGAGUCCUCAUGGAACCUGCGCCUCCGCAGACACUGCAGCAAUGACAGGUUGAGCCCAGACUGUGGUGUAAGGGGACUUGGGUGGUGUGAGCAGUUGCUCGUUUGCCCUUACAGCUGGAUUUGGUAAUGUGGAAUAUAUAAUGGCUUUGAAGCCAUGAAGGGAUCAUGGAGAGCAGCUGAGGCUUGGCACUGUGGGAGGCCAAGGAAGGCCAUUGGUGAAGGUGCAGUGUCAGUUGAAGCCUGGUACCAUGAAGGGAGCCCGUGAGAGGCCAUUGGUGAAGCCUAGUUGCAGCAGAAGACUGCAGCACACUGGAGACGCCAGUACCAUGGGAUGAUAACCAAGAACAGCAGCAGCAGUGGAGUAGAGUCAACCAGAGCCUAGAGUGCUACAUUGGGCAGAGCUGGAGAAGGGACGCUAGCCUUUUGGAGGACCUCAAAGGAUCAUGUGUGGAUCCCGGACAUUGGAACAAAAAACUGUAAAGUCGAAAUUGCCUUGGAUACCCCAAGAUAUGAAAGAUACGGGCUGAGGAAAGCUGCUAUCAGGGAGUGAAAACAGCACAAAAGAAAUGAAGUUUGUUUUUGCUGGAUGCCAGAUCUGUCAACAACACUCAACAAGGAUGAAAGGAGUUAGAGAUCUGAAGAGCGCUUUGACAUUGGACAUGGAGACAUGGAGUUUGGAGUUUGACCAACUAGUAUUUUCUUGCUUUGGUCCAGUAUUUCCUUGCUAUGAUGUUUUGGAAUAAUUAUGUAUAUCCUAUGCCAUGAUAUGUUGGAAGCAUGUGAUCUGUGUUUUGAUUUUGAUUUUAUAGGAGAUUACAGUUAAGAGAUUGCAUGAAUCGCAAGAGAGACUUUGAACUUUGGACUUUCAACACUGAUGAGACUGAUAGACCAUGGGGGUUUUUCAAGUUGGACUAAAUGUAUUUUUGCGUUAUGCCAUGGCUAGGAGUGGCCCCCACAGAGUCAUGUGUUUCAACAAGUCUAUGGAGGCCAGAGAGUGGAAUGUGGUGAUUUGAAUAUGCUUGGCCCAAAAGAAGUGGUGCUGUUAGGAGGUGUGGCCUUGUUGGAGGAAGUGUGUCACUGUGGUGAUGAGCUUUGGAAGUCUCCUACUAUGCUCAGGCUGCACCCAUUACAGAAGAGAGCUUCCUCCUUGCUGCCAGAGGAUGCCAGUCUUUCUCCAGCCCGCAGUUGGAUCAACAUGCAGAAUUCUCAGCUCCUUCUAUAGCACCAUGUCUGCCUGGAUGUUCCCAUGCUUCCUGCCAUGUGAACCAACACUGAUUAAAUGUUGUCCCUUAUACAA